RNAcentral lists this ribosomal RNA (328 nucleotides) under uncultured eukaryote. RNAcentral describes it as "partial 18S ribosomal RNA". It matches the Rfam family "Eukaryotic small subunit ribosomal RNA", at positions 1470 to 1796 of the family's 1831-position model. The record is from RNAcentral.
CCCUUAGAUGUUCUGGGCCGCACGCGCGCUACACUGAUGCAUUCAACGAGUUUCUUCCUGGUCCGAGAGGAAUGGGUAACCUUUUGAAAGUGCAUCGUGAUAGGGAUAGACUAUUGCAAUUAUUGGUCUUCAACGAGGAAUUCCUAGUAGACGUAGUUCAUCAGACUGCAUCGAUUACGUCCCUGCCCUUUGUACACACCGCCCGUCGCUCCUACCGAUUGAAUGUGUUGGUGAGGAGCUCGGAUUGGCAGCAGUUGGUGGUUCGCCACCGGCUAUUGCUGAGAAGUCCUCCAAACCGCCCCAUUUAGAGGAAGGAGAAGUCGUAACA